GCAUCAGCGGUUCUCGUAUGUUCACCGAAGUUAAGCAACGUCGAGCUUGGUUAGUACCUAGAUGGGUGACUGUUUGGGAAUACCGGAUGCUGUAGG
Molecule: non-coding RNA, 96 nt
Organism: Acanthosepion pharaonis
Lineage: Eukaryota; Metazoa; Mollusca; Cephalopoda; Sepiida; Sepiidae
Source: the annotation of a GenBank genome assembly